This 538-nucleotide ribosomal RNA is filed under the name Colletotrichum gloeosporioides. RNAcentral describes it as "eukaryotic LSU rRNA". The stretch from base 178 to 331 matches the Rfam family "5.8S ribosomal RNA". Lineage: Eukaryota; Fungi; Ascomycota; Sordariomycetes; Glomerellales; Glomerellaceae. The record is from RNAcentral.
CAUUACUGAGUUUACGCUCUACAACCCUUUGUGAACAUACCUAUAACUGUUGCUUCGGCGGGUAGGGUCUCCGCGACCCUCCCGGCCUCCCGCCUCCGGGCGGGUCGGCGCCCGCCGGAGGAUAACCAAACUCUGAUUUAACGACGUUUCUUCUGAGUGGUACAAGCAAAUAAUCAAAACUUUUAACAACGGAUCUCUUGGUUCUGGCAUCGAUGAAGAACGCAGCGAAAUGCGAUAAGUAAUGUGAAUUGCAGAAUUCAGUGAAUCAUCGAAUCUUUGAACGCACAUUGCGCCCGCCAGCAUUCUGGCGGGCAUGCCUGUUCGAGCGUCAUUUCAACCCUCAAGCUCUGCUUGGUGUUGGGGCCCUACAGCCGAUGUAGGCCCUCAAAGGUAGUGGCGGACCCUCCCGGAGCCUCCUUUGCGUAGUAACUUUACGUCUCGCACUGGGAUCCGGAGGGACUCUUGCCGUAAAACCCCCCAAUUUUCCAAAGGUUGACCUCGGAUCAGGUAGGAAUACCCGCUGAACUUAAGCAUAUCA